This 497-nucleotide ribosomal RNA is filed under the name uncultured bacterium. Its description in RNAcentral is "partial 16S ribosomal RNA". It matches the Rfam family "Bacterial small subunit ribosomal RNA", at positions 28 to 507 of the family's 1533-position model. The record is from RNAcentral.
GAUGAACGCUGGCGGCGUGCCUAAUACAUGCAAGUCGAGCGAACGGACGAGAAGCUUGCUUCUCUGAUGUUAGCGGCGGACGGGUGAGUAACACGUGGAUAACCUACCUAUAAGACUGGGAUAACUUCGGGAAACCGGAGCUAAUACCGGAUGAUAUUUUGAACCGCAUGGUUCAAAAGUGAAAGACGGUCUUGCUGUCACUUAUAGAUGGAUCCGCGCUGCAUUAGCUAGUUGGUAAGGUAACGGCUUACCAAGGCAACGAUGCAUAGCCGACCUGAGAGGGUGAUCGGCCACACUGGAACUGGGACGCGGUCCAGACUCCUACGGGAGGCAGCAGUAGGGAAUCUUCCGCAGUGGGCGAAAGCCUGACGGAGCAGCGCCGCGUGAGUGAUGAAGGUCUUCGGAUCGUAAAACUCUGUUAUUAGGGAAGAACAUAUGUGUAAGUAACUGUGCACGUCUUGACGGUACCUAAUCAGAAAGCCACGGCUAACUACGUG